RNAcentral lists this ribosomal RNA (213 nucleotides) under Escherichia coli. RNAcentral's name for it is "partial 16S ribosomal RNA". It matches the Rfam family "Bacterial small subunit ribosomal RNA", at positions 1 to 213 of the family's 1533-position model. Lineage: Bacteria; Pseudomonadati; Pseudomonadota; Gammaproteobacteria; Enterobacterales; Enterobacteriaceae. The record is from RNAcentral.
AAAUUGAAGAGUUUGAUCAUGGCUCAGAUUGAACGCUGGCGGCAGGCCUAACACAUGCAAGUCGAACGGUAACAGGAAGCAGCUUGCUGCUUUGCUGACGAGUGGCGGACGGGUGAGUAAUGUCUGGGAAACUGCCCGAUGGAGGGGGAUAACUACUGGAAACGGUAGCUAAUACCGCAUAACGUCGCAAGACCAAAGAGGGGGACCUUAGGG